UACGUAGGUGGCAAGCGUUGUCCGGAAUUAUUGGGCGUAAAGCGCGCGCAGGUGGUUUCUUAAGUCUGAUGUGAAAGCCCACGGCUCAACCGUGGAGGGUCAUUGGAAACUGGGGAACUUGAGUGCAGGAGAGAAGAGUGGAAUUCCACGUGUAGCGGUGAAAUGCGUAGAGAUGUGGAGGAACACCAGCGGCGAAGGCGGCCAUCUGGACAGAUAUUGACGCUGAGGUGCGAAAGCGUGGGGAGCAAACAGG
This 253-nucleotide ribosomal RNA is filed under the name uncultured bacterium. Its description in RNAcentral is "partial 16S ribosomal RNA". It matches the Rfam family "Bacterial small subunit ribosomal RNA", at positions 524 to 776 of the family's 1533-position model. The record is from RNAcentral.